Cercocebus atys (sooty mangabey) is the source of this 101-nucleotide ribosomal RNA. Lineage: Eukaryota; Metazoa; Chordata; Mammalia; Primates; Cercopithecidae. The record is from Ensembl.
GUCUAUGGCUGUACCACCCUGAAUGUCUGAUCUCAGAAGCUAAAGAGGGUUGUGCCUGGUUAGUACUUGGAUGGGAGUCAAGGACAUGAUUGUCAUAGAAA